Molecule: ribosomal RNA, 248 nt
Filed under: uncultured Ruminiclostridium sp.
Lineage: Bacteria; Bacillati; Bacillota; Clostridia; Eubacteriales; Oscillospiraceae
Description: partial 16S ribosomal RNA
Rfam family: Bacterial small subunit ribosomal RNA
Source: RNAcentral
UACGUAGGUGGCAAGCGUUGUCCGGAUUUACUGGGUGUAAAGGGCGUGUAGCCGGGUUGACAAGUCAGAUGUGAAAUCCUGCGGCUUAACCGCAGAACUGCAUUUGAAACUGCAGGACUUGAGUGAAGUAGAGGUAGGCGGAAUUCCCGGUGUAGCGGUGAAAUGCGUAGAGAUCGGGAGGAACACCAGUGGCGAAGGCGGCUUCCUGGUCUGCAACUGACACUGAGGCGCGAAAGCGUGGGGAUCAA